GUACGAUCAAGGACAUUGUGACCCGGUAUCAAUCCAUGACGGGUCAUCAUGUGACCCGAAGAUUUGGUUGGGAUUGUCACGGGUUACCUGUUGAACAUGAAAUUGAUGAGAAACUUGGGAUUAAGAUGAAGCAACAAGUGAUUGAUAUGGGGAUUGAUAAGUAUAAUGAGGAGUGUAGGUCAAUUGUUACGAGGUAUGUUGGCGAAUGGGAGAAGACGGUGGUGAGGAUGGGAAGGUGGAUUGAUUUUGAGAAUGGGUAUAAGACUAUGGAUUUGAAGUUUAUGGAGAGUGUUUGGUGGGUUUUUGCUCAGUUGUAUCAAAAGGGGCUCGUUUAUCGUGGCUUCAAGGUAUGCCCUUUUAGGUCACACUCGGUUUUAUAAUGUAUCGUAUUUUACAUCAUACUGUAUUGUUUUAAUGAGUAUGUAUUUUUUAUUGUUACAUAAUGUUGCACAUCAAUAAUUUGAAGGAUAAACCUAUGAUAAAAGUAGGUAUAGAGUAGAGCUACGAUAAAAAGGUAGGGUAAAGGAUAAUGUAAGGUUAUUAAAUAGUAAAGAGCUACUGCCUCAUUAUGGGCACAUAUUAGCGGGUAGGAUCAAGGACAUUGUGACCUGAUACCAAUCGAUGAUGGGUCAUCAUGUGACCCUAAGAUUUGGUUGGGAUUGUCAUGGGUUACCUGUUGAACAUGAAAUUGAUGAGAAACUGGGGAUUAAGAUGAAGCAACAAGUGAUUGAUAUGGGGAUUGAUAAGUAUAAUGAGGAGUGUAGGUCAAUAUUUACGAGGUAUGUUGGCGAGUGGG
This 796-nucleotide long non-coding RNA is filed under the name Capsicum annuum. Its description in RNAcentral is "long non-coding RNA (CANN_LNC020035)". Lineage: Eukaryota; Viridiplantae; Streptophyta; Magnoliopsida; Solanales; Solanaceae. The record is from RNAcentral.